Molecule: ribosomal RNA, 375 nt
Filed under: Triticum aestivum (bread wheat)
Lineage: Eukaryota; Viridiplantae; Streptophyta; Magnoliopsida; Poales; Poaceae
Description: partial small subunit ribosomal RNA
Source: RNAcentral
AUGGGGAGAGGCUUGUGGGAGUGGAUGAACGUCAAAGCCGACCAUAUCUCCCCAAUAAUCCUGGUGCGCACUUGCCAUGUCAAUGGUGGUGUGUUUUUCUUUUCCUUACAAGAGAGAUGUUCCUCAAGGCUCCUAUUUGGGAGGAACUCAUACACCAGGCCAGAACCAGAAGCCUCUUGGCAUGCUCCUAUAAACAUCAUGAUGUUAGGAUGCCUCACUGUACUGAGAAAAGCAACCUGCAGUGACGAUGCCAUGAUGAUGUUACUACUUUUUUUGAAUAAAAGCAAAAAUACGAUUCAGGAGAAGUCAUCUCAAUUACCUCUUGAUGGAAUUCUUGUUGUCUUUGAAGGCGUUGACAAUGAAGCAACUUUAUAG